RNAcentral lists this ribosomal RNA (328 nucleotides) under Salmonella enterica subsp. enterica serovar Muenchen. RNAcentral's name for it is "partial 23S ribosomal RNA". It matches the Rfam family "Bacterial large subunit ribosomal RNA", at positions 1093 to 1338 of the family's 2925-position model. Lineage: Bacteria; Pseudomonadati; Pseudomonadota; Gammaproteobacteria; Enterobacterales; Enterobacteriaceae. The record is from RNAcentral. RNAcentral also lists the same sequence under 4 other names.
CCAGGAUGUUGGCUUAGAAGCAGCCAUCAUUUAAAGAAAGCGUAAUAGCUCACUGGUCGAGUCGGCCUGCGCGGAAGAUGUAACGGGGCUAAACCAUGCACCGAAGCUGCGGCAGCGAACGUAUCACUUAAAGCGAUUCAGCGGGUUACGAUUGACGGAGCGAAGCGACGUCAAAGCGUAUACAAAGUCGAGUCGGUUUAAGGAUACGUUCGUUGGGUAGGGGAGCGUUCUGUAAGCCUGUGAAGGUGGCCUGUGAGGGUUGCUGGAGGUAUCAGAAGUGCGAAUGCUGACAUAAGUAACGAUAAAGCGGGUGAAAAGCCCGCUCGCC